CAGCSCGUUKYUCGGRGAAUUAUUGGGCGUAAAGGCUCGCAGGCGUUCUUAGUCUGAUGKGAARGCYCCCCGGCUCAACYGGGGAGGUUCAUUGGAAACUGGGAAACUGAGUGCAGAGAGAGAGUGGAAUUCCACGUGUAGCGGUGAAAUGCGUAGAGAUGUGGAGGAACACCAGGUGGCGAAGGCGACUSUCUGGUCUGUAACUGACGCUGAGGAGCGAAAGCGUGGGGAGCGAACAGGAUUUAGAUACCCUGGUAGUCCACGCCGUAAACGAUGAGUGCUAAGUGUUAGGGGGUUUCGCCCCUUAGUGCUGCAGCUAACGCAUUAAGCACUYCGCCUGGGGAGUACGGUCGCAAGACUGAAACUCAAAGGAAUUGACGGGGGCCCGCACAAGCGGUGGAGCAUGUGGUUUAAUUCGAAGCAACGCGAAGAACCUUACCAGGUCUUGACAUCSUCUGACAACCCUAGAGAUAGGGCUUUCCCUUCGGGGACAGAGUGACAGGUGGUGCAUGGUUGUCGUCAGCUCGUGUCGUGAGAUGUUGGGUUAAGUCCCGCAACGAGCGCAACCCUUGAUCUUAGUUGCCAGCAUUCAGUUGGGCACUCUAAGGUGACUGCCGGUGACAAACCGGAGGAAGGKGGGGAUGACGUCAAAUCAUCAUGCCCCUUAUGACCUGGGCUACACACGUGCUACAAUGGACAGAACAAAGGGCUGCGAGACCGCAAGGUUUAGCCAAUCCCACAAAUCUGUUCUCAGUUCGGAUCGCAGUCKGCAACUCGACUGCGUGAAGCUGGAAUCGCUAGUAAUCGCGGAUCAGCAUKCCRCGGGGAAUACGUCCCGGGCCUUUACACACCUCCCKUYUCUCCGCGAKAKUKGCAACACCCKAAGUCGGGGGGGAGGUUGUGGGUUYCUCUUGGAAGGGGGCGAUGGAGGAAAGGKGUGGAGWAGGSC
Molecule: ribosomal RNA, 949 nt
Filed under: Bacillus altitudinis
Lineage: Bacteria; Bacillati; Bacillota; Bacilli; Caryophanales; Bacillaceae
Description: partial 16S ribosomal RNA
Rfam family: Bacterial small subunit ribosomal RNA
Source: RNAcentral